Molecule: ribosomal RNA, 167 nt
Filed under: uncultured rumen bacterium
Lineage: Bacteria
Description: partial 16S ribosomal RNA
Rfam family: Bacterial small subunit ribosomal RNA
Source: RNAcentral
UACGGGAGGCAGCAGUGGGGAAUAUUCCACAAUGGGGGAAACCCUGAUGCAGCGACGCCGCGUGAGUGAAGAAGUAUUUCGGUAUGUAAAGCUCUAUCAGCAGGGAAGAUAAUGACGGUACCUGACUAAGAAGCACCGGCUAAAUACGUGCCAGCAGCCGCGGUAAU